This 1538-nucleotide ribosomal RNA is filed under the name Escherichia coli. RNAcentral describes it as "partial 23S ribosomal RNA". It matches the Rfam family "Bacterial large subunit ribosomal RNA", at positions 1 to 1582 of the family's 2925-position model. Lineage: Bacteria; Pseudomonadati; Pseudomonadota; Gammaproteobacteria; Enterobacterales; Enterobacteriaceae. The record is from RNAcentral.
GGUUAAGCGACUAAGCGUACACGGUGGAUGCCCUGGCAGUCAGAGGCGAUGAAGGACGUGCUAAUCUGCGAUAAGCGUCGGUGAGGUGAUAUGAACCGUUAUAACCGGCGAUUUCCGAAUGGGGAAACCCAGUGUGUUUCGACACACUAUCAUUAACUGAAUCCAUAGGUUAAUGAGGCGAACCGGGGGAACUGAAACAUCUAAGUACCCCGAGGAAAAGAAAUCAACCGAGAUUCCCCCAGUAGCGGCGAGCGAACGGGGAGGAGCCCAGAGCCUGAAUCAGUGUGUGUGUUAGUGGAAGCGUCUGGAAAGGCGCGCGAUACAGGGUGACAGCCCCGUACACAAAAAUGCACAUAUUGUGAGCUCGAUGAGUAGGGCGGGACACGUGGUAUCCUGUCUGAAUAUGGGGGGACCAUCCUCCAAGGCUAAAUACUCCUGACUGACCGAUAGUGAACCAGUACCGUGAGGGAAAGGCGAAAAGAACCCCGGCGAGGGGAGUGAAAAAGAACCUGAAACCGUGUACGUACAAGCAGUGGGAGCCUCUUUUAUGGGGUGACUGCGUACCUUUUGUAUAAUGGGUCAGCGACUUAUAUUCUGUAGCAAGGUUAACCGAAUAGGGGAGCCGAAGGGAAACCGAGUCUUAACUGGGCGUUAAGUUGCAGGGUAUAGACCCGAAACCCGGUGAUCUAGCCAUGGGCAGGUUGAAGGUUGGGUAACACUAACUGGAGGACCGAACCGACUAAUGUUGAAAAAUUAGCGGAUGACUUGUGGCUGGGGGUGAAAGGCCAAUCAAACCGGGAGAUAGCUGGUUCUCCCCGAAAGCUAUUUAGGUAGCGCCUCGUGAAUUCAUCUCCGGGGGUAGAGCACUGUUUCGGCAAGGGGGUCAUCCCGACUUACCAACCCGAUGCAAACUGCGAAUACCGGAGAAUGUUAUCACGGGAGACACACGGCGGGUGCUAACGUCCGUCGUGAAGAGGGAAACAACCCAGACCGCCAGCUAAGGUCCCAAAGUCAUGGUUAAGUGGGAAACGAUGUGGGAAGGCCCAGACAGCCAGGAUGUUGGCUUAGAAGCAGCCAUCAUUUAAAGAAAGCGUAAUAGCUCACUGGUCGAGUCGGCCUGCGCGGAAGAUGUAACGGGGCUAAACCAUGCACCGAAGCUGCGGCAGCGACGCUUAUGCGUUGUUGGGUAGGGGAGCGUUCUGUAAGCCUGUGAAGGUGUGCUGUGAGGCAUGCUGGAGGUAUCAGAAGUGCGAAUGCUGACAUAAGUAACGAUAAAGCGGGUGAAAAGCCCGCUCGCCGGAAGACCAAGGGUUCCUGUCCAACGUUAAUCGGGGCAGGGUGAGUCGACCCCUAAGGCGAGGCCGAAAGGCGUAGUCGAUGGGAAACAGGUUAAUAUUCCUGUACUUGGUGUUACUGCGAAGGGGGGACGGAGAAGGCUAUGUUGGCCGGGCGACGGUUGUCCCGGUUUAAGCGUGUAGGCUGGUUUUCCAGGCAAAUCCGGAAAACCAAGGCUGAGGCGUGAUGACGAGGCACUACGG